AUGAUGCCUGGAGAGCUGUGGAGGGAAAAAAAGAAUGCUAAUUGGAAAAUAGAGAAGAAGAGUUUGCUAGAAAUGAUUCAAGGUCAACAAGAUAUGAUUAACAAGUGCAUGGAAAAAAUUAAUGCUUGGGAAGAAAAAGAGAUCUAUGGAGAAGACUUAGGUGAGAAAAAUGAGCUUGAGACUGAAAUUCCCCGUGACCACACACCUGAAGAUGCAUAUGCAGAACCAGUGGAUUAUUCAGCCAGUCAAGAUUCGGUGGAAUCCCUAGGCUCAAAGUUAGGAAUUCACAAAAAGGAAGGAGGAGACAAGGACGAAGAUAAAGAUGGACCUACUAGAAGAAGUGAUAGAAACCUGGAUAAGAAGGAUGCUAAAAUAGAAGACCUGGCCAAGGAAAGGGCAGCUGAAAAAGACAAUUAUGAAAAGGGACCCAGAGGAAAAACAUGUUGA
RNAcentral lists this ribosomal RNA (447 nucleotides) under Triticum aestivum (bread wheat). Its description in RNAcentral is "partial small subunit ribosomal RNA". Lineage: Eukaryota; Viridiplantae; Streptophyta; Magnoliopsida; Poales; Poaceae. The record is from RNAcentral.